This is a long non-coding RNA of Cygnus olor (mute swan), 3041 nucleotides long. RefSeq lists it as uncharacterized. The record is from RefSeq and is a predicted model, not a curated record. Lineage: Eukaryota; Metazoa; Chordata; Aves; Anseriformes; Anatidae. The transcript is spliced from 9 exons.
CGCCUUUGGGUCUGGGUUUGGGGAGGUGAAGCAGAGGGAUGCUGCUGAGCGGGGGGAACGGUGCUGUACUUGCCACAGAUCUGUGCUUUGGGGAGAGGAAGAGACAACACGGGCUUAAUCCGUGCCAAAACUCAGUGAUCCCGACUCUUUCAGAAAUGCGGAUGCGAUUUCAAAAUUGUAACAAAGGGCAUCCCGGCUGUGUUUCUAGCAGCUAUAGCAAAGAAUAACCGUGCUUCUCACUGAAAGCUACUUUGAAAGAGAUCGCGUGUAAUAGGUAUUAGGAUAUUAAGAGUGUGUAUGUGAUUUUUUGCUUUUUAAUUUACACAUCCAGCUUUCCAGUUCUGGGAUGCCAUUAAUGUUCUUAGCCCAGAAUUACCUCGUUUAAAAAGCCAGGUUUUCUUAGCCCGCGCGGCAACACGGGCUUUAUGAGAUUUGAAUGGGCAAAUCCCAGUGGCAUGCUUUUUGCUGUAAGAACUUUUGUUUAGACGAAGGCACUGGUGGCUCAGCUCUCGUGAAUACCUCAGGUUAUCUUAUUUUGAGAUUAAACGGUUAGCAGUUCAGGGGCUGCUUUCCUCCAUGGUGCAUCGCAAAAGAGAGGGGGAAAUGGCAUGGUUUCUUCCCAGAAAUGGUGACACAAAACAGCUUGCUAAUUAACCCUUGCAUUGCGCCGUGCCACCGCAGGAUUGUUUCUGAUGAUUCAUCAGAUGGGAUAAUCCGCAGCGUGCGGAUAAAAGGGAAGGCAGGGCUGGGAGGCACAGCGUUGAGCACCCAACACACGCCGAGUGGUGGAGGGAAGGUGAGACCUGGGAAGAGCACAGCAACUCGCUGCCCCCCAAGCUGGGAUUUUGAGGCGAGGGUUUUUAAAAGGACUGAGCGGAUGUUCAAAGGGAGCGCAGUACCGCAUCCCUGAGGGGGCCUUCGAAAACCCAAACUUUAGGAGUUGUGUUGGACGCAGCAUCUCUCUUGGGUGAGAUCCCAGCCGAAGGAAAGCCUUUUAAUUGCAGAGUAGCACUUUUGCCCACUAACGUCAACAUGUCCUCCUUCCUCAGAGGCGGAAAUUCUGCUCCCAAAUAAAUAAAUGCUAUACGUGGCCCAUAUGUGGCAAUUUUCCCUAUCCUGGAGAGGCAGGAUACCAUAGCCGGGGGGUGACAUCUAGAGACCCCUCCAGUGAGGUCGGCACCUCCAGCUCCUGGGGCCCUGACCAGAAACGUCGGUGAACACCUCACGCUGUGGCUUCUUGCAUGCAGCAGGGAAAAGGCACGGAAGGGCUUUUGCUGGUGGUUUUGUGCACACAUUCUUGGGAGCCUGGGGCUGAAAAGGUUUCUUCCUACCGGUGCUUGCUGAUAUGGCGCAUAAUUAGUAUUUAUAGUCCCAGAAGUAUGCAAGGCGCUUUGUAGAGAAGUCAUCCUUCUGCAAAAGCCCUCGGCCUGGCUGUAGCUAGGCCUACUUUGGAACUCAACCUAACCCAAUUUAUGUAUCCUGCCAAACACAGAAUUAAGACACAGAGCUGACCGCACCAGCACUUUUUUUUCUUUUUUUUUUCCUGGCAUUGGAAACACUGACCUGCACUCCCAAGGCACUCGGAGCACCUUGUGGACCCUGCCUCACUUUUAGGCAACAGGAUUCCUGCGUGCCCAGCCACCCGUGGCCAGCAGAAGCCUUGUGGUUCCAGAGAAGGUCCCUUGAGAGAGGUGGGGGGGCGGCGGAUCUGCAGGCAGCUCUCCAGCGGCAGCUGUGCACCGGCGGCACGGGCAUGUGGGAGGCUGCUCCCGGGCUGCUGGAUGGAGAAGGAGAGGACCAGGGAAACGCUCCCACGUGGGAAGUGUCGGGAGCUGCCAGUGAGGCGGCGAGUUUCCCUGAGUGCUGGGGAAGCUGCCUGGAGCUGGGAUUUGUUGUCGAGCGUUGGCUCUCGCCGCCCAGAGAAGCAGCAGAGUGAACCGGCCUGACGCAGAUGAAGACCACAGAAUGGGUGGCAGCAAAAUUGCAAAAUCAGGAGUGAGAAACAGCAAGAAGACAUUGUGCUAGUCCCUGGUAGCUUCCACUAGUCAAUGAAAAAUCAGUCUGAAUGUUCUUUCCACCAAAAAUGCCAUUUUUAUUAAGAAUGUGAAUGUUUAGUGGGUUUGUAAACUUUUCAGUGAGUUUCAUUUGAAAAUAAGAAAGCAAAAUAUGAAUAUGUCCUGUUUGACUCCUGCUACAACAAGAAGCUUCAGUGUUUCAUUUCCAAACAACUUUUUCUUGAAGGGAGAAUUGGGUGCCUAUUGCGAAAAUCCCAGGCUGAGCAGCCUGAUAACUCCUGGCUUUCUGGGCCGGGCAGCAAGCACUGUGCAUCCUACCAGAAAGCCGGCAGGAAUUUCUGCUUUCCUGUGUGGAGGGUUUGGAUGUUUGGGCCAUGGCUAUAUCCCUCAAGCUGGACUCAGGAUUACCUGUCGGAGGUUUGGGCUGCAGAAUGGAUCAGUAUUGAAAUUGUCUGAGAAGUAAAUUUAAAGAAUGCACAGCUCAUAUUGCUGGCCUGCAAAAUCAGAUGUCAAACAAGGUUCUUCCUGUCACUUCUAAGAAGUCUGACAACUGAGAUAUGCACCAGGUGAAAUCCUGGACACAGUGUACCAGCCUGUCUGUCUGAGGGACAGAGGCUUAACCCAGUGCCCUGGUGAACCACUUACAGGCAAUACAUAUGAGGACUGCAUAACUCUGAGAACCUGGUGGCAGUAGUGGGAAACAGGUGACAGCUUAGUGAUAACCUGAAAGAACACAGAAGAUCCUCACUGAUUACCUUUGCAAGUGACACAAGACUGGAAGAACUAAAGAUUAUGAAGAGGCAGGCGAUAGAGAGCUUUCUGCCUGAAUUGAUAAGUCACAAAACUGGGAUGGAGUAAAAGCAGGAAAACCUCUGUAUGGAAGUGUGAGAUGAAGUGGAUUGGUCCUUGCCUGGCACAGGACAACUCUCCAGCAAACUUGUGACCACCAAUCUAGUUAACAGUGAAAGAAGAUCCAUUAACAGAAGGAAAAGCUAGUGUGAAAACACAGCUGGAGUGCAGCACCUC